RNAcentral lists this ribosomal RNA (763 nucleotides) under uncultured bacterium. RNAcentral describes it as "bacterial SSU rRNA". It matches the Rfam family "Bacterial small subunit ribosomal RNA", at positions 1 to 811 of the family's 1533-position model. The record is from RNAcentral.
CCUUAGAGUUUGAUCCUGGCUCAGAGCGAACGCUGGCGGCAGGCUUAACACAUGCAAGUCGAGCGGGCGUAGCAAUACGUCAGCGGCAGACGGGUGAGUAACGCGUGGGAACGUGCCUUUUGGUUCGGAACAACACAGGGAAACUUGUGCUAAUACCGGAUAAGCCCUUACGGGGAAAGAUUUAUCGCCGAAAGAUCGGCCCGCGUCUGAUUAGCUAGUUGGUGAGGUAACGGCUCACCAAGGCGACGAUCAGUAGCUGGUCUGAGAGGAUGAUCAGCCACAUUGGGACUGAGACACGGCCCAAACUCCUACGGGAGGCAGCAGUGGGGAAUAUUGGACAAUGGGGGCAACCCUGAUCCAGCCAUGCCGCGUGAGUGAUGAAGGCCCUAGGGUUGUAAAGCUCUUUUGUGCGGGAAGAUAAUGACGGUACCGCAAGAAUAAGCCCCGGCUAACUUCGUGCCAGCAGCCGCGGUAAUACGAAGGGGGCUAGCGUUGCUCGGAAUCACUGGGCGUAAAGGGUGCGUAGGCGGAUCUUUAAGUCAGAGGUGAAAGCCUGGAGCUCAACUCCAGAACUGCCUUUGAUACUGGGGAUCUUGAGUUCGGGAGAGGUGAGUGGAACUGCGAGUGUAGAGGUGAAAUUCGUAGAUAUUCGCAAGAACACCAGUGGCGAAGGCGGCUCACUGGCCCGAUACUGACGCUGAGGCACGAAAGCGUGGGGAGCAAACAGGAUUAGAUACCCUGGUAGUCCACGCCGUAAACGAUG